GAAUUCGCCCUUAGAGUUUGAUCCUGGCUCAGGACGAACGCUGGCGGCGCGCCUAACACAUGCAAGUCGAACGAGCGAGAGAGAGCUUGCUUUCUCGAGCGAGUGGCGAACGGGUGAGUAACGCGUGAGGAACCUGCCUCAAAGAGGGGGACAACAGUUGGAAACGACUGCUAAUACCGCAUAAGCCCACGGCUCGGCAUCGAGCAGAGGGAAAAGGAGCAAUCCGCUUUGAGAUGGCCUCGCGUCCGAUUAGCUAGUUGGUGAGGUAACGGCCCACCAAGGCGACGAUCGGUAGCCGGACUGAGAGGUUGAACGGCCACAUUGGGACUGAGACACGGCCCAGACUCCUACGGGAGGCAGCAGUGGGGAAUAUUGCACAAUGGGGGAAACCCUGAUGCAGCGACGCCGCGUGGAGGAAGAAGGUCUUCGGAUUGUAAACUCCUGUUGUUGGGGAAGAUAAUGACGGUACCCAACAAGGAAGUGACGGCUAACUACGUGCCAGCAGCCGCGGUAAAACGUAGGUCACAAGCGUUGUCCGGAAUUACUGGGUGUAAAGGGAGCGCAGGCGGGAAGACAAGUUGGAAGUGAAAUCUAUGGGCUCAACCCAUAAACUGCUUUCAAAACUGUUUUUCUUGAGUAGUGCAGAGGUAGGCGGAAUUCCCGGUGUAGCGGUGGAAUGCGUAGAUAUCGGGAGGAACACCAGUGGCGAAGGCGGCCUACUGGGCACCAACUGACGCUGAGGCUCGAAAGUGUGGGUAGCAAACAGGAUUAGAUACCCUGGUAGUCCACACCGUAAACGAUGAUUACUAGGUGUUGGAGGAUUGACCCCUUCAGUGCCGCAGUUAACACAAUAAGUAAUCCACCUGGGGAGUACGACCGCAAGGUUGAAACUCAAAGGAAUUGACGGGGGCCCGCACAAGCAGUGGAGUAUGUGGUUUAAUUCGACGCAACGCGAAGAACCUUACCAAGUCUUGACAUCCCUUGACAGGCAUAGAAAUAUGUUUUCUCUUCGGAGCAAGGAGACAGGUGGUGCAUGGUUGUCGUCAGCUCGUGUCGUGAGAUGUUGGGUUAAGUCCCGCAACGAGCGCAACCCCUAUCUUCAGUAGCCAGCGGUAAGGCCGGGCACUCUGGAGAGACUGCCAGGGAUAACCUGGAGGAAGGUGGGGAUGACGUCAAAUCAUCAUGCCCCUUAUGAGCAGGGCUACACACGUGCUACAAUGGCGUAAACAAAGGGAAGCAGAGUCGUGAGGCCGAGCAAAUCCCAAAAAUAACGUCUCAGUUCGGAUUGUAGUCUGCAACUCGACUACAUGAAGCUGGAAUCGCUAGUAAUCGCGAAUCAGAAUGUCGCGGUGAAUACGUUCCCGGGUCUUGUACUCACCGCCCGUCA
Molecule: ribosomal RNA, 1387 nt
Filed under: uncultured bacterium
Lineage: Bacteria
Description: bacterial SSU rRNA
Rfam family: Bacterial small subunit ribosomal RNA
Source: RNAcentral